GUCGUGAGGCAUGCUGGAGGUAUCAGAAGUGCGAAUGCUGACAUAAGUAACGAUAAAGCGGGUGAAAAGCCCGCUCGCCGGAAGACCAAGGGUUCCUGUCCAACGUUAAUCGGGGCAGGGUGAGUCGACCCCUAAGGCGAGGCCGAAAGGCGUAGUCGAUGGGAAACGGGUUAAUAUUCCCGUACUUGGUGUUACUGCGAAGGGGGGACGGAGAAGGCUAUGUUGGCCGGGCGACGGUUGUCCCGGUUUAAGCGUGUAGGUGUGUGUUCCAGGUAAAUCCGGUUCACUUUAACACUGAGGCGUGACGACGAGGCACUACGGUGCUGAAGCAACAAAUGCCCUGCUUCCAGGAAAAGCCUCUAAGCAUCAGGUAACAUCAAAUCGUACCCCAAACCGACACAGGUGGUCAGGUAGAGAAUACCAAGGCGCUUGAGAGAACUCGGGUGAAGGAACUAGGCAAAAUGGUGCCGUAACUUCGGGAGAAGGCACGCUGACACGUAGGUGAAGUGAUUUACUCAUGGAGCUGAAGUCAGUCGAAGAUACCAGCUGGCUGCAACUGUUUAUUAAAAACACAGCACUGUGCAAACACGAAAGUGGACGUAUACGGUGUGACGCCUGCCCGGUGCCGGAAGGUUAAUUGAUGGGGUCAGCGCAAGCGAAGCUCCUGAUCGAAGCCCCGGUAAACGGCGGCCGUAACUAUAACGGUCCUAAGGUAGCGAAAUUCCUUGUCGGGUAAGUUCCGACCUGCACGAAUGGCGUAAUGAUGGCCAGGCUGUCUCCACCCGAGACUCAGUGAAAUUGAACUCGCUGUGAAGAUGCAGUGUACCCGCGGCAAGACGGAAAGACCCCGUGAACCUUUACUAUAGCUUGACACUGAACAUUGAGCCUUGAUGUGUAGGAUAGGUGGGAGGCUUUGAAGCGUGGACGCCAGUCUGCGUGGAGCCGACCUUGAAAUACCACCCUUUAAUGUUUGAUGUUCUAACGUGGACCCGU
Molecule: ribosomal RNA, 993 nt
Filed under: Salmonella enterica subsp. enterica serovar Stanley
Lineage: Bacteria; Pseudomonadati; Pseudomonadota; Gammaproteobacteria; Enterobacterales; Enterobacteriaceae
Description: partial 23S ribosomal RNA
Rfam family: Bacterial large subunit ribosomal RNA
Source: RNAcentral